This 411-nucleotide ribosomal RNA is filed under the name uncultured Desulfomicrobium sp. Its description in RNAcentral is "bacterial SSU rRNA". It matches the Rfam family "Bacterial small subunit ribosomal RNA", at positions 505 to 917 of the family's 1533-position model. The record is from RNAcentral. Lineage: Bacteria; Pseudomonadati; Thermodesulfobacteriota; Desulfovibrionia; Desulfovibrionales; Desulfomicrobiaceae.
GUGCCAGCAGCCGCGGUAAUACGGAGGGUGCAAGCGUUAUUCGGAAUUACUGGGCGUAAAGCGCACGUAGGCGGCUUCGUAAGUCAGGGGUGAAAUCCCACGGCUCAACCGUGGAACUGCCUUUGAAACUGCAAAGCUUGAAUCCUGGAGAGGGUGGCGGAAUUCCUGGUGUAGGAGUGAAAUCCGUAGAUAUCAGGAGGAACACCGGUGGCGAAGGCGGCCACCUGGACAGGCAUUGACGCUGAGGUGCGAAAGUGUGGGGAGCAAACAGGAUUAGAUACCCUGGUAGUCCACACCGUAAACGAUGGAUACUAGGUGUCGGGGACUUGAUCUUCGGUGCCGUAGCUAACGCGUUAAGUAUCCCGCCUGGGGAGUACGGUCGCAAGGCUGAAACUCAAAUAAAUUGACGGG